This 433-nucleotide ribosomal RNA is filed under the name uncultured bacterium. RNAcentral's name for it is "partial 16S ribosomal RNA". It matches the Rfam family "Bacterial small subunit ribosomal RNA", at positions 29 to 507 of the family's 1533-position model. The record is from RNAcentral.
AACGAACGCUGGCGGCAUGCCUAACACAUGCAAGUCGAACGAGACCUUCGGGUCUAGUGGCGCAGGGGUGCGUAACGCGUGGGAACCUGCCCUUAGGUUCGGAAUAACUCCGCGAAAGGGGUGCUAAUCCCGGAUAAUGUCUUCGGACCAAAGAUUUAUCGCCUUUGGAUGGGCCCGCGUUGGAUUAGCUAGUUGGUAGGGUAAAAGCCUACCAAGGCGACGAUCCAUAGCUGGUCUGAGAGGAUGAUCAGCCACACUGGGACUGAGACACGGCCCAGACUCCUACGGGAGGCAGCAGUGGGGAAUAUUGGACAAUGGGCGAAAGCCUGAUCCAGCAAUGCCGCGUGAGUGAUGAAGGCCUUAGGGUUGUAAAGCUCUUUUACCCGGGAUGAUAAUGACAGUACCGGGAGAAUAAGCUCCGGCUAACUCCGUG